GACGAACGCUGGCGGCGUGCUUAACACAUGCAAGUCGAGCGGUAAGGCCCUUUCGGGGGUACGACGAGCGGCGAACGGGUGAGUAACACGUGGGUGACCUGCCCUCAGCUCUGGGAUAAGCCCGGGAAACUGGGUCUAAUACCGGAUAUGACUUCAUGACGCAUGUUGUGGAGUGGAAAGCCUUGUGCGGCUGAGGAUGGGCCCGCGGCCUAUCAGCUUGUUGGGGGGGUGA
Molecule: ribosomal RNA, 232 nt
Filed under: uncultured bacterium
Lineage: Bacteria
Description: partial 16S ribosomal RNA
Rfam family: Bacterial small subunit ribosomal RNA
Source: RNAcentral